UGGUUGAUCCUGCCAGUAGUCAUAUGCUUGUCUCAAAGAUUAAGCCAUGCAUUGUCUCAGUACUUGCUUUAACAAGGCGAAACCGCGAAUGGCUCAUUAAAUCAGUUAUGGUUCACUAGAUCGUAUGAAUUACAUGGAUAACUGUGGUAAUUCUAGAGCUAAUACAUGCAUCCAGCUCGGCUGCCUUGUGCAGCGAGCGCAGUUAUUAGAACAAAACCAAUCCGGCUUCUGUCGGUAAAUUGGUGACUCUGAAUAACCGAAGCGGAGCGCUAAGGUCUCGUACCGGCGCCAGAUCUUUCAAGUGUCUGACCUAUCAGCUUGUUGCGAGGUUAUGUUCCUCGCAUGGCUGUUACGGGUGACGGGGAAUCAGGGUCCGAUUCCGGAGAGGGAGCCUGAGAAACGGCUACCACAUCCAAGGAAGGCAGCAGGCGCGCAAAUUACCCACUCCCGGCACGGGGAGGUAGUGACGAAAAAUAACGAUGCGAGAGCUUUUAGCUUUUAGUAAUCGGAAUGGGUACACUUUAAAUCCUUUAACGAGGAUCUAUUGGAGGGCAAGUCUGGUGCCAGCAGCCGCGGUAAUUCCAGCUCCAAUAGCGUAUAUUAAAGUUGCUGCGGUUAAAAAGCUCGUAGUUGGAUCCGGGCAGUCGACGCGCGGUGCGCUUUACGGCGUUACUGCGUGCUCGUCGCCACUAUCCGGCCUUGUCUUUCAUGUUCUUUACUGAGCGUGAUCGGCGACCGGGACGUUUACUUUGAAAAAAUUAGAGUGCUUAAAGCAGGCAUAUGGCCUUGCAUAAUGGUGCAUGGAAUAAUGGAAUAGGACCUCGGUUCUAUUUUGUUGGUUUUCGGAGCUCGAGGUAAUGAUUAAGAGGAACAGACGGGGACAUUCGUAUUGCGGCGUUAGAGGUGAAAUUCUUGGAUCGUCGCAAGACGAACUACUGCGAAAGCAUUUGUCAAGAAUGUUUUCAUUAAUCAAGAACGAAAGUUAGAGGUUCGAAGGCGAUCAGAUACCGCCCUAGUUCUAACCAUAAACGAUGCCAACCAGCGAUCCGUCGGUGUUCAUUCAAUGACUCGACGGGCAGCUUCCGGGAAACCAAAGUGCUUAGGUUCCGGGGGAAGUAUGGUUGCAAAGCUGAAACUUAAAGGAAUUGACGGAAGGGCACCACCAGGAGUGGAGCCUGCGGCUUAAUUUGACCCAACACGGGAAAACUUACCCGGCCCGGACACUGUAGGGAUUGACAGAUUGAGAGCUCUUUCUUGAUUCGGUGGUUGGUGGUGCAUGGCCGUUCUUAGUUGGUGGAGCGAUUUGUCUGGUUAAUUCCGAUAACGAACGAGACUCUAGCCU
RNAcentral lists this ribosomal RNA (1342 nucleotides) under metagenome. Its description in RNAcentral is "SSU rRNA". It matches the Rfam family "Eukaryotic small subunit ribosomal RNA", at positions 5 to 1349 of the family's 1831-position model. The record is from RNAcentral.